Molecule: ribosomal RNA, 403 nt
Filed under: bacterium
Lineage: Bacteria
Description: partial 16S ribosomal RNA
Rfam family: Bacterial small subunit ribosomal RNA
Source: RNAcentral
UGGGGAAUAUUGCACAAUGGGGGAAACCCUGAUGCAGCGACGCCGCGUGAACGAAGAAGGUAUUCGUAUCGUAAAGUUCUGUCCUAUGGGAAGAUAAUGACAGUACCAUAGAAGAAAGCUCCGGCUAAAUACGUGCCAGCAGCCGCGGUAAUACGUAUGGAGCGAGCGUUGUCCGGAAUUAUUGGGCGUAAAGGGUACGCAGGCGGUUUAAUAAGUCGAAUGUUAAAGAUCGGGGCUCAACCCCGUAAAGCAUUGGAAACUGAUAAACUUGAGUAGUGGAGAGGAAAGUGGAAUUCCUAGUGUAGUGGUGAAAUACGUAGAUAUUAGGAGGAAUACCAGUAGCGAAGGCGACUUUCUGGACACAAACUGACGCUGAGGUAUGAAAGCGUGGGGAGCAAACAGG